UUCACUAUCGAGGUACCACUAAUAGUGAUAACUUUAUCGAGAAGGUAGGGAUGUAAGUGUGCAUAACUGUGCCAAAUUUUGAUGAGUGCCAUAUGGAGAUUCCUUGUCAUAUCUAGUGCCAACCGUAUAACAUUGCUUAGUCCCCAAAACUUCUAACUGCCCUGAGCUACAAAAGACUAUUCAUGGUCGGCCGGAUGAUAUGAUUAAUGAGAUGAGUCCACCGCGUGGCGGCCUAGAGUACCACGCCUACAUCCUCACUAUCCUUCCCGAGGUCAUCUAGUAGCUAGCGUCACUGGACCACGAAUACCAUAGCGGUAAUGGUUUCUCUGGAUGUUGGUAGGGUCUAGCAAUAGCUAGUCGAAGUCCAUAUUUCAAUUGUUGAUGUUGUCCAGGCCCAUCAGUUGUGGUGGAUAAGCCAGAAUGAGAAGUGUUGGCUCGGUCCACUAGUGUUCAAUCGCCUUCGUCUUGAUGAUCUGAGCAACAAAGCCACCUCCCUUCUUGGUCUUCCAUCGGGCGGUGAAGAACUUGGCUACUACAUAGCCGAGGUGUAGACGUUGUCAGUUUUCAUGGCACACAUAAAGACUUAUUACUGCUUGAGAAAGUAGUGGUCAUAUCAAGUCUUGAUGUUGCAUAAGGAAAUGGAGUCUCACCAAACCACAUGAAAAGUGAGCUAAGGGGUCGAGUACCUGGAUUAUGAAGUGUGUCCCUAAUCCACUGACCAUCUAGGGAGUUGGUGAUCCGCCGCCAAACUGCCCUAACACCGACUAAGAUGUCAUUCGGGUAAUCCCCAUUGCUUAUGAUAUCUGAAUAGUUGUUGAAGGGACCGAUAAUCCUAGGGGGAUGGAAAACUGAUAGAGAGUCUCCAUGAAAUCUGUGCCACCUAAGGAGUACCUGAUAUAGUGCCCCGUUUGAUUCUCCCGUCGUGUGUUGUACGCGAAGCUGAAUCCUGAAGCGGAAAAAGUGAAAGUCAACAUGCCUCCACGAUUCAGCUCUUCUGCAAUCCUUUCUCUCCACUCCUUAGGGGAACUAGUGGAUGGGGUG
This 1041-nucleotide long non-coding RNA is filed under the name Linum usitatissimum (flax). Its description in RNAcentral is "long non-coding RNA (LUSI_LNC006788)". The record is from RNAcentral. Lineage: Eukaryota; Viridiplantae; Streptophyta; Magnoliopsida; Malpighiales; Linaceae.